AUUCCAGCUCCAAGAGCGUAUAUUAAAGUUGUUGCAGUUAAAAAGCUCGUAGUUGGAUUUCUGGUAUAAUGCGCCUGGCCCGCUCCGUUUCGGAGUGAGUGCCGGUGCGCGUUUGCCAUCCUUCUAGAAAAUGUUUCUACCCUUCGCUGGGCCGGAUUCACGAUCUAGAUCUUUUACUUUGAAAAAAUUAGAGUGUUUAAAGCAGGCUUUUGCUAUGAAUACAUUAGCAUGGAAUAAUAAUCUAGGACUUCGGUUCUAUUUUGUUGGUUUCUAGUACUGAAGUAAUGAUUGAUAGGGAUAGUUGGGGGUGCUAGUAUUGGCCGGCCAGAGGUGAAAUUCUUGGAUUCGGUCAAGACUAACUUAUGCGAAAGCAUUCACCAAGGAUGUCUUCAUUG
Molecule: ribosomal RNA, 395 nt
Filed under: Protaspa sp.
Lineage: Eukaryota; Cercozoa; Thecofilosea; Cryomonadida; Protaspidae
Description: partial small subunit ribosomal RNA
Rfam family: Eukaryotic small subunit ribosomal RNA
Source: RNAcentral